CCUACGGGAGGCAGCAGUGGGGCAUAUUGGGCAAUGGGCGCAAGCCUGACCCAGCAACGCCGCGUGAAGGAAGAAGGCUUUCGGGUUGUAAACUUCUUUUGUCAGGGACGAAGCAAGUGACGGUACCUGACGAAUAAGCCACGGCUAACUACGUGCCAGCAGCCGCGGUAAUACGUAGGUGGCAAGCGUUAUCCGGAUUUAUUGGGUGUAAAGGGCGUGUAGGCGGGAAUGCAAGUCAGAUGUGAAAACUCUGGGCUCAACCCAUAGCCUGCAUUUGAAACUGUAUUUCUUGAGUGCUGGAGAGGCAAUCGGAAUUCGGUGUGUAGCGGUGAAAUGCGUAGAUAGACGGAGGAACACCAGUGGCGAAGGCGGAUUGCUGGACAGUAACUGACGCUGAGGCGCGAAAGCGUGGGGAGCAAACAGGAUUAGAUACCCGAGUAGUC
RNAcentral lists this ribosomal RNA (443 nucleotides) under uncultured bacterium. RNAcentral describes it as "partial 16S ribosomal RNA". It matches the Rfam family "Bacterial small subunit ribosomal RNA", at positions 338 to 795 of the family's 1533-position model. The record is from RNAcentral.